CGGGCCGGCCGAGCCCCGCCCGGCCCAGGCGCUAUUCUUCGCCCGGCGGCGGGAAUCCUCGCCGCCCGCGCCCGGCCGCCCCUGCGCGUGAAUGGCCGAGCGCCGCCGCCGUCUGUGGCGCUUUGUGUCCGGGCCGGGCCAGCUGGGCCCGCGAGGGACGUGCCAGCCCGGCCGGCGGCGCCCCCGCGCCGGCGCCCCUCGCCCAUGCUAAUCAGCCUGGCAGCAGCGCGUCUGGGCAGGCGGCCCCUGCCAGGGGCACCCCCACCAGACUCCCCCCGCUGCCAGGAGCCCCUCCUCUCCAGCUGCCAGCAGUGCCCCCUGGCCCUGGAGAAAGGCAGAGAUCCGUGGUGGGGGAGGCCUGGAACCCUGGGGCCGGGGGCUCUCUGCCAGCCUCAGUUUCCCCUCAGGUUGAGCCAGCCUCCCCACCAACCCCACCCCAGUCUGGCCUCCCUGCCACCCUCCUGCCCUGUGCCCAGGGACCAUCCCCCCCGGCCAGGCCAAAUUUGGGUUUGUGCUCUGGUGUUGAGGAGCCCCCCCGCGGAUGCAGGGUUUGGCACUGGGAGCUGCCCCAUCACCGCCCUGGUCUCAGGGGGUUAAAUCACCCGUAACCAGGACUGGGCACUUGGUGUGGGCAGGAGCUGAGUCCCACAGCACAGUAGCACUCAGGGAAGGGUGUCUGCCAGCCGGGGGUGGGGGAGCAGUGGGGGCAGGCAGGACAUCCAGCCCUUGCCCUGCUUGGAAAGAGGCGCGGGGCCUUUCUUGGGGGGCCCCCUGGGUGCCGCUCCCCCCCUCACCGUCUCCCCGGGUUGUCCCUGGGGGCCAGGGAGGCACCUAUAGGCUGGGCAGCCGAGCUCCCUGCGGCCUCCGCCUCAGGCCAGGGCCCUCAGUCAGGGUCUGGCCUGGGAGCCGGCUGGAUCCAAGUGCAGGCCCCUGCCAGCCCCUGUCCCGGUGUGGCCCCGUGUGCGAGGUGCGCACCGUUGCUGUAGGUUUACGGGGGAGCCUGGAUGCCCGUCCUCUGCGUCCGGCCUGUCUCGCUCACUUCAGUUUCCUGUGUGGCCCUCAUCCCCGUCCCCCUCGGCAGGGUCUCUUACUGGCUGUUCACCACCAGCCCAGCUCCGUCCUGCACACAGAGCCCCUGCGUGUGGAAAGCCCUCCCCGGGCUGCCCCUGGCUUCUCCACCCACCUCUCACCAGCAAGCACAUCCUGCAAGGACCCGGCUCAGGUGCUGCCUCCUCCAGGAAGCCGCCUGGAUCCUUCCCUCUUCCUGCCCGUCUGGAUAUGCACGCCAUGCUGAGGAAUUCGGCAACAAACCUAAGAGCACCAGGGAGCCGUGCAGGCUCUAAGUAGGGAGUGGGCGCCUGAUGGCUCCCGAGAGGCCCAGCGGGGAGCGCGCAGUCGGGGACGCACGGGCCAUCAGAUGUCAAAGGAAAUACUGCAGGAGCGCCUGGAGAUGGCCAGCUAUUUCCACCUGCCCGGGCCCUUAGAAAAAUAAUGUCAACGCUCCCUUUUGCAGGAGCAGGUUUUAAGCAGAAGAACGCAGGAAGACCAUCUUUGGGCAAAGGCCGGUGCACGCCGCAUGACCAGGGCCUUUGAGAGCUGCCGGUUUGUCGCCACAUCCUGGUCACUCUCGUGGUGACCGUGGCUGGGCCCCAGCGGGGACGGGGACGCCGCAAGGACCCUGACCACUUUACAACAGACACAGCGUGACUCACGCCCACGGCAGCCCCUGCGCUGUCCAGAAGCUCACAGCCUGGUUUGGCUCAAGGCAAAGACAUGGAGCCCGAAUCCAAAGGCAGGAAGAGCUUGUCAAGGCCGGGGCAUCCACUCUGCAACGGCAUCCGAGUCCUCUGCCCAUCCGUAUCCUGCACAGCCUGCUGCUAGCUGUAGAACUCUUCACGUGUUCUAUGAGACCCUUUAUUUUACAUAUUUAUAGACACAUGCAGUCCUCUGUUCGACUCAUUUACUUAAACACUCGCUGAUUUUUAAAUCUGGAAAAUAUGUAAAGAGAAAAAGGGUGUGGCUACAAGAA
Non-coding RNA from Oryctolagus cuniculus (rabbit), 2029 nucleotides. The record is from RefSeq and is a predicted model, not a curated record. NCBI's taxonomy places the organism in Eukaryota, Metazoa, Chordata, Mammalia, Lagomorpha, Leporidae.